RNAcentral lists this ribosomal RNA (691 nucleotides) under uncultured bacterium. Its description in RNAcentral is "bacterial SSU rRNA". It matches the Rfam family "Bacterial small subunit ribosomal RNA", at positions 807 to 1504 of the family's 1533-position model. The record is from RNAcentral.
CGAUUGAUGCCCGCUGUUUGCGAUAUACUGUGAGCGGCCAAGAGAAAUCGUUAAGCAUCCCACCUGGGGGAGUACGCCGGGCAAACGGUGAAACUCAAAGGAAAUUGACGGGGGCCCGCACAAGCGGAGGAAACAUGUGGUUUAAUUCGAUGAUACGCGAGGAACCUUUACCCGGGCUUGAACUGCCAGCGAACGAUUCAGAGAUGAUGAGGUCCUUCGGGACGCUGGUGGAGGUGCUGCAUGGUUGUCGUCAGCUCGUGCCGUGAGGUGUCGGCUUAAGUGCCAUAACGAGCGCAACCCUUUUCUUUAGUUGCCAUCAGGUAAUGCUGGGCACUCUGGAGAUACUGCCACCGUAAGGUGUGAGGAAGGUGGGGAUGACGUCAAAUCAGCACGGCCCUUACGUCCGGGGCUACACACGUGUUACAAUGGGGGGUACAGAGAGUCGGAUGUACGCAAGUACAUUCUAAUCCUAAAAGCCUUCCUCAGUUCGGAUUGGGGUCUGCAACCCGACCCCAUGAAGCUGGAUUCGCUAGUAAUCGCGCAUCAGCCAUGGCGCGGUGAAUACGUUCCCGGGCCUUGUACACACCGCCCGUCAAGCCAUGAAAGCCGGGGGCGCUUGAAGUCCGUGACCGCAAGGAUCGGCCUAGAGCGAAACUGGUAAUUGGGGCUAAGUCGUAACAAGGUAGCCGUA